RNAcentral lists this long non-coding RNA (1206 nucleotides) under Mytilus galloprovincialis (Mediterranean mussel). The record is from RNAcentral. Lineage: Eukaryota; Metazoa; Mollusca; Bivalvia; Mytilida; Mytilidae.
UCCUCUUACAAAUAUCGUCAAAUGUAUAAAAAUAAGCCAACAUGCAUGGCAAGAUUAGAUGAAUCUGAGGCUCUUCUAACAAUCAUCUAUGUCGUUAAAUAAAUAGGCGAAAUAAAAUAAAAAAUAUAUAUAUAGAACAAAACAAGCUUACUGACCUUCUAUUGCUAUAACAUUUACAUUUUGCUUGUUAAAGAUAUUUUCGUCGCCUUUUUAAUGUAUUUCCUCAUAAUAAAAAUAAGAGCAGGAAGCAAACAGUUAUUCAGAACGAGGCAGUGAUGAACUGCUCUUCUAUUAAUUGUACAACACCCAGGUCAUUAAAGUGUAAUAUAAAACCGUCACCGGACUUAUGAUAUCAAAUAUUGACGUAACAAAAUAAAAUUAAUACAGGAUUUCAGACAGUUUUUUCGACCAUUCAAUUCCAGUACAAUAUUUGAAACAAAUACUCUUGAAAUGUCGUGUGUCGUGCGUCUGAUACGGUGAUUUUUUUCCCGCAAUUUACUUUUCGUCCGCUUUUGCUUUUUGUCCGAUAAUUUUGCUUUUUGUCUGACACUUUUCCUCUUUGUCCGUUGCUUUUUGUCCGCAAUUUUAAUUUGUCCGAUGAUUUUGCUUUUUGUCCGACACUUUUGCUUUUUGUCCGUUGCUUUUUGUCCGUAAUUUGCUUUUUGUCCGAUAAUUUUGCUUUUUUUCCGACACUUUUGCUUUUAGUCCGUUGCUUUUAGUCCGUUUCGUUUUUUGUCCGAUAAUUUUGCUUUUUGUCCGAAGCUUUUGCUUUUUGUCCGUUGUUUUUUGUCCGUUUUGCAUUUUGUCCACUGAUUUUGCUUUAUGUCCGAUAUAAAAAUGUGUACAUAUUUUGCAAGUUGCAUAUUAUUGAACAUCAAAACACCAUGCCUUUUUUAUGAUUACAAGACUAAACAUACAAAAGUGAUUGCGCAUAUUGUCAAUAUAUGCAGAAAUGUCAAGUGUUAUCGUGCAUAUUUAUAAAUUUUGCGUUUUGCGUUUAAUAGUUUGUAAGAAAUAUUUCAAAGCUCAAAUUUCAAAUCAUGCACAUGUACAUUAUUGAUAACAUAUACGGAGUGCUACAAAAAUGCAAUGCUAUUAUUUUUUUUCUCCAAAAACAUAUUGAUUUAUUUUUUAGAUCAUCUGGCUCUAUUAACCAAAUAGUCUUUUCUCAUUACUUGGCGUCCGUCGUCUGUCGUCGUCGUCGUC